Long non-coding RNA from Bos taurus (domestic cattle), 1103 nucleotides. Lineage: Eukaryota; Metazoa; Chordata; Mammalia; Artiodactyla; Bovidae. The record is from Ensembl.
GAAACUAAUUCAUAACUAACUAAGCUACCAGAUCAAUGUAUUGAUUAAGUUAUAAAUAGGGAGAAUGCUUUUCUUCUUUAUAAAUAAAUUUCCAUUCCACUUCUCUAACCAUAUAACCAGUCUUGAAGUUGCUGUUUCCCUCUUCCUGUCAACUAGCUUCCAGGUGAGCAUCGAGUGUUUCAGAAACAGGAGAAGCGCAUUUUCCUAAUCCUGGCCCAGAACCUCGGUCAAUUACGGUUCAAAAUGUACCACUACCUUCUGUUUCUCCUCAUUCUCCACUUCAGCUUAUUGUUAAUUAUAAUUAAUAUAGUACAAUUUGUUUAACAUCUCUAUUCUGUGCUAACAGAUGGAUAGGAUUUGGGUCUGCAACUGGCACAAUAGUGUUAGUUUGUGUUAGUUGCUCAGUUGUAUCCAACCCUUUGAGACCCCAUAGACUGCAGCCCAACAGGCUUCUCUGUCCAUGGGAUUCUCCACGCAAGAAUACUGGAGUGACUUGCCAUGGCCUUCCCCAGGGAAUCUUCCUGAACCAGACAUUGUCAUUAUCUUCCUAUGCAAUUUGCUCAUCAGAAACUACUGAAAAAUGGAAUGCCGAGGAAACCAUAUUGCCAUGCUUUACACUCCUAGGCAAAAAUAUUAGACCAGUGGGACUAUAUCAAACUAAAAACUUCUGCACAGCAAAGCAAACUAUCAACAGAAUGAAAAGGCAGCUUACCAAAUCAGAGAAAAUAUUUACAAACCAUCAUCUGAGAAAGCCUACAUUUUCAAAAUGUACAAGAAACUUUUAUAAACCAAUACGAAAACAAACAAGCAAACAAACCAAUCAAGCUUUAAACUGUGCAAAGGACUUGAACAAAUGUUUCUCCAAAGAUGGCAUAUAAAUGGCCAACAGGUAUAUGGAAAGAUGCUCAUCUAAAAAGAUUCCCUAAUUAAUGACUAGAGAAAGGCAAAUCAGAAGUUAAAUGAGAUAUCUCAUUCCUGUUAGGAUAGUUAUUAUUAAACAAAACAAAAGAUAACGAGUGUUGACCAGCAUGUAGAUAAAAGGAAACCCUUGUGAACUCUUAGUGCAAAUGUAAAUUUUUAGCCACUACAUAAAACAGCAAGAA